UCAGUAAUGGGCAGCCCUGGGGAAGGGGACAGUGUUGAGCAUCUUAGCUCCCAGGAACUGGUAGCCAGCAGAGCUCAUGCCCUUGCCUAAAAGGAAUACAGGUCCUUUCUGUUCAAGGGGGAAGAUUGUAUCCUAUAGCUCUUAUUAGAGAAACAGUGGACUUUGAGUUGGACUUCAGCCCAUGCAGGGCCCCUCUGAAGAAAGAAAGAGCAGGCUUUGGAACAGGAGCAGGAGCAGCACGUUUUGGGUCCAUUUUUGGAGGAGCUGAUGGUCUCCUCAAGGAACAGCCCACUGCGAAACCUGCAGCAGACACAGAUGGGACAGAAGUUGACCCUAAGCUCAGCCACUUGACCUCUAUUGGCUGUAGUACCUCCACAGUUUGCCCGCACAGCAGUAGAAGCCUGGGACAACGUAUCUUCAUCUACCUUUCCAAGAGGAAGCAUUUCCAUGAUGAACUUCAAACGUAACUUCUGGAGAGGACCAACAAGCAAGUCCAGUACCAAAGACAAAGGCACGUACAGCUGGAGGAAAGGCAUACCACAGGACAAGAGAAAGGGUCAGCCUGGCUGCACAGCUUGAGGAGAGGUCUUCAGCCCAGGAAUGGUGGCUAAGGGAGGAGGACAGAAUUCACCAGAAAGAGCUGUUUGAGUGUCUUAUAUCACUAGUAACUGCAAAAGUAGUGGCUCCUGCUGCAUCACCCCUGCCAUGGCCUGAGUCCCCUGUGUGCUACCCCGAGCUGCAGUCCAGAAGCAGCUUGAAAGACUCCAUUGCUGGCUGGCAUCUUGCUCCACGCAAUCCUCCAUAUUGACCCACUCCCCUGUGGAUGCCCCAACCUCCCUCCUACAGUGUUGCAUGCAUGGCAAAUGGGGAAAGAAGAAUAGGUGGCUAUAGGAUGUGCCAUGGUAGGGGGUGUCUGUCUUGUACGUGAUUUCACUGUUCGUGCAGGUAUUUUUUUUCUGUAAGGUUCUGUUACUGGUGUUUUGGUGUGGUAAUAGGAGCUUGCCCACCUGUGAAUGGGUGAAUAUUUUACUUUUCUAAUACAGGUUUAUAAAGGUAUUUUUUUAAUAUAUGAAUUUUUUUUAAUUUCUAUUACUGCUUCACAUUGUAUGAUGUGUAGCCAAAAUAAUAAAGGUAAACACAUGAUCAGGGACAAUUAGGAAUUAGUAUGCAAAGACUGUCCCUCAGUAUAGUUAUCUAUAGCAAUUCCUACUUCAGUCACUUCCUUACAUCAUUCCAUACUGUGAAUAAUCACCUCCCCCCCAAUUUCAUAAGUGGUCUUGUCAUUCAAAAGUACAUUACAUAGCAUUAAAAUUCCACGCCUCUCUCCAAAAACUCCACUCCUCUUCACAAUCAGUGAGCCUCCAUAUCAUCACUCCUCACAACCCCCCACCACAAGCUUAUUCAUAAAGAUACUAUUCCCUCUCUUCUGUUGCACCAUGCAAGUCCAUAAUGUGGGAGCACAAAACAUCCCUGGCUUCUGGUACCUGGGUGCAUCCAGCUUCAGCUGUGGUAGGUGUGCUUUCUGGCUGAGCACACUGAUUCAGGGGUCCCUCGGUGUCAGGGGGGAAAUGGCUCACAUCUGGCUUCACAAUGAUUAUGAAGAGCACAGCAAGCCACAGUAAUGCAGACACCACUGAUGACACUGGCAUCCAAAUGGGUCUAUAAACAUCUCAAAUGGGAUUUCAGUCUGCCAAAAGCACAUUCAACAACUAUUCUGCACCUGUUGGGAAUGUAAUUAGAGUAUCUUUUGCCAGGGCCUCUGAAAUCAGGAUAUAAUUUCAUAAGCCAAGGCAGACGGAAAUAUGCAGUGUCCCUCAGAAUAACAGUGGGGACAGUAACUCCAUUUAUGACAAUGUCAUUUGGUGGGAAUAUUGUCCCAGUCUGUCCAUGAAUGUAGACUCCUCUUGGUGGAAAACCCUGGCUUCAUGAACUUUCCCAGUGCAACUCACAUUGACAUUCAUAAAUCACCCUCUGUGGUCCACUAGGACCUGCAUAACAAUAGAGUAGUACUCCUUGUGGUUUAUGUGCUCCUUGAGGAGAGCAAAUUAUGGGCACAUGAGUCCCAUCAAUGGCCCCAGUCACUUUGGAGUAAACCACACACCUGAUUGCCUCAGAAACCUCCACAACCAUUUUCCAAUACCAAACUGGUUUGCAAUGAACCUGUAGCAGUUUGGGGUAGCCAGUUUCUAGACGGCUAUAGUUACCUGCUUCUGGACUGGCAUGGGUGGCCUCAUGCAUGUGUCUUUAUGCUGGGAGGGUCAGGACAAGUUGCUCACAAAGCUCCAGAAAUGUAGCUUUCUUCAUGCAAAAGUGCUGGACCCCUUGAUGUCAUUCCAGGUCUGCAUGAUGAUGUGAUCCAACUUGUGCUUGUGGCCCUGCUCCUGAAGUGCUGGUGGGGGGUAUCGGGGCUGUACUGAGAAGCAUCAGUUUGUCUGCCAUGCUUGGGUACCCCUCCUCCUGCUCCAUAAUAAACUGUGUCAGGUUCCUUUGGUGGGUCAGAAAACACUGCUGAAAUGUCCAUCAGCAUCUCACGGGAGCUCUGUUUGACACAGGAGUGAAAGCACAAGCAAGAGGAGUUCUUCAAAAAGUGCCUCCUCCAUGUAGCUGCCUCCAGUAGCUGGGAGCAUACUGACCAAAAUGACUAUCUGGCAGGAUGUGUUGGUGGAUUGUUCUAACUUCUUGUAAUGUGCAGCAUGGAGCCAAGUUUUUCCAUAGUGCACCAUGGUCAAAGGGCUAGAGUGGCCACAUUUGUGGGGGUGCCAGGGAGUCUGGGAUAGAGUCGGUUUGACUCAGGUGCUGCAGUGUGGACACCAGAGCCCCAGAUUCCAUCCUGGGUUAGAAAAUUCUUAACCUAGGGUUAACGAUCAGUGUAGAUGCUCAAGCCUUGGGUUCUCUAAUCCAGAAUCAGUUGACUUGAGUCCCGCUAACCCUGGGUUUACAUUGCAGUGUAGCUGUACCCUCUGAGUACUUUCCCCAGACCUGAAGAAGAGCUCUGUAUAGCUCAAAAGUUUUUCUAUUUCACCAGCAAAAGUUGUUUCAAUAAAAUAUAUUACCUCAUCCAUGUUGCCACUGUAUAAUGAGUCCAUAAUACAUACAUAUAAGGGGAAAUAGGUAUUUGACUUUGCUCCUAACAGCUCAGUGAAAGUGUUCCAUGGCAAAACAUUUUCCUAAACUUUGUCUGAGUAUCCUUUGGAACUUACAUAUCUGAUGAUCCAUACAACUGCUGUACUUUUGCAUUUGAAUAUAUUUGAUUCUAGGGAGAAUAAAAGGUCAGAUGCUGCUUUGUC
This is a long non-coding RNA of Dermochelys coriacea (leatherback sea turtle), 3287 nucleotides long. RefSeq lists it as uncharacterized. The record is from RefSeq and is a predicted model, not a curated record. NCBI's taxonomy places the organism in Eukaryota, Metazoa, Chordata, Testudines, Dermochelyidae. The transcript is spliced from 3 exons.